This is a non-coding RNA of Caenorhabditis elegans, 137 nucleotides long. NCBI's taxonomy places the organism in Eukaryota, Metazoa, Nematoda, Chromadorea, Rhabditida, Rhabditidae. The record is from Ensembl.
CGGCGCUACAAAACGGAGGUGAUGGCCUUUCUCUCUCGAUGAUUCGAUUCCGUCGAAUGAGUUGAACAUCAUUUGGAACCAUGCCAACCGAGGUGUCACAUGGUCUGGUUGGCGCAGCAGCAGCAGCUGGCAAUAAA